AAAGUCCCUGUGUGUCAACCUCUGUGCCUCGUGGCAAGGUAGACUAGCAAACAUGCCCAACCUUUACUCACAUUCGAGAAAACACUCCCAAUAAGAUUGCUUGCUCCAAAAUCGAAGAGGCACCGUCUUCCGAAUCUCGAGAGCCAGACUCGCAACAUGAUUACUUUCUCAAAAAUCGAAGAGAGGGUAAAGGAAUAGUACCAUUGCUGGAUAAUUGGAAAGUCCCUGUGUGUCAACCUCUGUGCUUUGUGGCAAGGUAGACUAGCAAACAUGCCCAACCUUUACUCACAUUCGAGAAAACACUUCCAACAAGAUUGCUUGCUCCAAAAUCGAAGAGGCACCGCCCUCCGAAUCUCGAGAGCCAGACUCCCAACAUGAUUACUUUCUCAAAAAUCGAAGAGACACUGCUCCCCGAAUCUCGAGAGCCAGACCCC
Molecule: long non-coding RNA, 434 nt
Filed under: Malus domestica (apple)
Lineage: Eukaryota; Viridiplantae; Streptophyta; Magnoliopsida; Rosales; Rosaceae
Description: long non-coding RNA (MDOM_LNC009469)
Source: RNAcentral